AGUGAACGCUGGCGGUAGGCCUAACACAUGCAAGUCGAACGGCAGCACAGGAGAGCUUGCUCUCUGGGUGGCGAGUGGCGGACGGGUGAGGAAUACAUCGGAAUCUACUUUUUCGUGGGGGACAACGUAGGGAAACUUACGCUAAUACCGCAUACGACCUACGGGUGAAAGCAGGGGACCUUCGGGCCUUGCGCGAUUGACUGAGCCGAUGUAGGAUUAGCUAGUUGGCGGGGUCAGGGCCCACCAAGGCGACGAUCCGUAGCAGGUCUGAGAGGAUGAUCAGCCACACUGGAACUGAGACACGGUCCAGACUCGUACGGGAGGCAGCAGUGGGGAAUAUUGGACAAUGGGCGCAAGCCUGAUCCAGCCAUACCGCGUGGGUGAAGAAGGCCUUCGGGUUGUAAAGCCCUUUUGUUGGGAAAGAAAUCCAGCUGGCUAAUACCCGGUUGGGAUGACGGUACCCAAAGAAUAAGCACCGGCUAACUUCGUGCCAGCAGCCGCGGUAA
Molecule: ribosomal RNA, 506 nt
Filed under: uncultured bacterium
Lineage: Bacteria
Description: partial 16S ribosomal RNA
Rfam family: Bacterial small subunit ribosomal RNA
Source: RNAcentral